GGGCCUGUAGCUCAGCUGGUUAGAGCGCGGUCCUGAUAAGACCGAGGUCUCUGGUUCGAAUCCAGACAGGCCCACCA
This 77-nucleotide transfer RNA is filed under the name Dehalococcoidia bacterium. RNAcentral's name for it is "tRNA-Ile". It matches the Rfam family "tRNA". Rfam says of the family: Transfer RNA (tRNA) molecules are approximately 80 nucleotides in length. Their secondary structure includes four short double-helical elements and three loops (D, anti-codon, and T loops). Lineage: Bacteria; Bacillati; Chloroflexota; Dehalococcoidia. The record is from RNAcentral.